Molecule: ribosomal RNA, 497 nt
Filed under: uncultured bacterium
Lineage: Bacteria
Description: partial 16S ribosomal RNA
Rfam family: Bacterial small subunit ribosomal RNA
Source: RNAcentral
GAUGAACGCUGGCGGCGUGCCUAAUACAUGCAAGUCGAGCGGACAGACGCGGAUCUUGCUCCUCUCUCGUUAGCCGAGGACGGGUGUAUAACACGUGUAUAACCUACCUAUCUUUCUGGGAACACUUCGGAACACCGGCGCUUAUACCGUAUAAUCUAUUGCACCGCAUGGUUCGUUAGUGAAUGACGGUUUUGCUGUCACUAAUCGCUGCAUCCGCGCCGCUUUAGCUAGUUGUUAAGGUACCGGCUUACCACGGCAAGGAUGCGUAUCCGACCGGAGAGGGUGAGCGGCCACACUGGAAGUGAGACACGGUCCAGAGUCCUACGGGAGGCAGCAGUAGGGAAUCGUCCGCAAGGGGCGAAAGCCUGACGGAGCAACGCCGCGUGAGGGAGGAGGGUCGUCGGAUCGGAAAACUCGGUUAUUAGGGAAGAACAAAUGUGUAAGUAACUAGGCACGUCUGGACGGUAACUAGUCAGAGAAGCACGGCUAACUACGGG